AAUGAACGUUGGCGGCGUGGAUUAGGCAUGCAAGUCGAGCGAGAAACCAAUUAGCUUGCUAUGAGGUGGACAGCGGCGAAAGGGAGAGUAACGCGUGGUUACGUGCCCUCGGGACUGGGAUAGCGUCGGGAAACUGGCGGUAAUACCGGAUAAUAUCUUUGGAUCAAAUGGUGAGAUUCCGCCCGAGGAUCGGACCGCGUACUAUUAGCUUGUUGGCGGGGUAAUGGCCCACCAAGGCUGCGAUGGUUACCGGGUGUGAGAGCAUGGCCCGGCUCACUGGGACUGAGACACUGCCCAGACAUCUACGGAUGGCUGCAGUCGAGAAUCUUCGGCAAUGGACGAAAGUCUGACCGAGCGACGCCGCGUGCGGGAUGAAGGCCCUCGGGUUGUAAACCGCUGUCAGUUAGGAGGAAAUCCAUGGGGGUUCUCCCUCAUGGUUGACCGAUUUUCAGAGGAAGGACGGGCUAAGUUCGUG
Molecule: ribosomal RNA, 475 nt
Filed under: uncultured bacterium
Lineage: Bacteria
Description: bacterial SSU rRNA
Rfam family: Bacterial small subunit ribosomal RNA
Source: RNAcentral